This 68-nucleotide transfer RNA is filed under the name Marmota monax (woodchuck). Its description in RNAcentral is "tRNA.Thr". The record is from RNAcentral. Lineage: Eukaryota; Metazoa; Chordata; Mammalia; Rodentia; Sciuridae.
GGAUUGUGGCUCAGUGGUAGAGCACUUGCCUAGUGUGAGGGAGGCACUGAGUUCGAUCCUCAGCACCA